Molecule: ribosomal RNA, 339 nt
Filed under: uncultured bacterium
Lineage: Bacteria
Description: bacterial SSU rRNA
Rfam family: Bacterial small subunit ribosomal RNA
Source: RNAcentral
GACGUGACUUCAGAGUUUGAUCCUGGCUCAGGAUGAACGCUAGCGGCAGGCCUAACACAUGCAAGUCGAGGGGCAGCACGAGUAGCAAUACUUGGUGGCGACCGGCGCACGGGUGCGUAACGCGUAUGCAACCUACCCGUAACUGGGGGAUAAUCCGGAGAAAUUUGGUCUAAUACCCCAUAAUAUAUUGAAUGGCAUCAUUUGAUAUUGAAAGUUCCGACGGUUACGGAUGGGCAUGCGUUGUAUUAGCUAGUUGGUGAGGUAACGGCUCACCAAGGCUACGAUACAUAGGGGAACUGAGAGGUUAAUCCCCCACACUGGUACUGAGACACGGACCAG